RNAcentral lists this ribosomal RNA (458 nucleotides) under uncultured bacterium. Its description in RNAcentral is "bacterial SSU rRNA". It matches the Rfam family "Bacterial small subunit ribosomal RNA", at positions 1 to 449 of the family's 1533-position model. The record is from RNAcentral.
CCCUUAGAGUUUGAUCCUGGCUCAGGAUGAACGCUAGCUACAGGCUUAACACAUGCAAGUCGAGGGGAAACGACAUCGAAAGCUUGCUUUUGAUGGGUGUCGACCGGCGCACGGGUGAGUAACGCGUAUCCAACCUGCCCACCACUUGGGGAUAACCUUGCGAAAGUAAGACUAAUACCCAAUGAUAUCUCUAGAAGACAUCUGAAAGAGAUUAAAGAUUUAUCGGUGAUGGAUGGGGAUGCGUCUGAUUAGCUUGUUGGCGGGGUAACGGCCCACCAAGGCAACGAUCAGUAGGGGUUCUGAGAGGAAGGUCCCCCACAUUGGAACUGAGACACGGUCCAAACUCCUACGGGAGGCAGCAGUGAGGAAUAUUGGUCAAUGGACGAGAGUCUGAACCAGCCAAGUAGCGUGCAGGAAGACGGCCCUAUGGGUUGUAAACUGCUUUUAUAAGGGAAUAA